UCCUACGGGGGGCAGCAGUGGGGAAUAUUGCACAAUGGGGGAAACCCUGAUGCAGCGACGCCGCGUGAGUGAAGAAGUAUUUCGGUAUGUAAAGCUCUAUCAGCAGGGAAGAAAAUGACGGUACCUGACUAAGAAGCCCCGGCUAACUACGUGCCAGCAGCCGCGGUAAUACGUAGGGGGCAAGCGUUAUCCGGAUUUACUGGGUGUAAAGGGUGCGUAGACGGAAGAACAAGUUGGUUGUGAAAUCCCUCGGCUCAACUGAGGAACUGCAACCAAAACUAUUCUCCUUGAGUGUCGGAGAGGAA
RNAcentral lists this ribosomal RNA (305 nucleotides) under uncultured bacterium. RNAcentral's name for it is "bacterial SSU rRNA". It matches the Rfam family "Bacterial small subunit ribosomal RNA", at positions 337 to 659 of the family's 1533-position model. The record is from RNAcentral.